This 794-nucleotide ribosomal RNA is filed under the name Melanohalea aff. multispora SL-2012. Its description in RNAcentral is "SSU rRNA". It matches the Rfam family "Bacterial small subunit ribosomal RNA", at positions 371 to 1146 of the family's 1533-position model. The record is from RNAcentral. Lineage: Eukaryota; Fungi; Ascomycota; Lecanoromycetes; Lecanorales; Parmeliaceae.
UAUAGCAAUAGCUACUUGCAUCAUCUUAGGAUGAUGCAAAAUCGACUAUGUCGAAUAAAAUUCUAGGUAGAAUUAUGAUAAUGACAUUGUCUGCCUAUGUGUCUUGACCAAAUUACGUGCCAGCAGUCGCGGUAAUACGUAGAAGACUAGUGUUAUUCAUGUUUAAUCGGUUUAAAGGGUACCUAGACGGUAAAUCAAGCUUUCCAAGAAAUAAAGUUAAAGGACUAAUUUACUAGAGUUACUUAUGAGGGGGCAUUAAAGUACUGCUGGUGUAGAGAUGAAAUUCUGUCAUACCUAGUAUCAAUAGAAAAAAAGACGGCACGGGUAUAGGCGAAGGCAUCUCCUUAUGUGAUAACUGACGUUGAGGGACGAAGGCUUUGUAUAGCGAACAGGAUUAGUUACCCCAGUAGUCUAAGCAGAAAAUGAUGAAUGUCAUAGAUUAGAGGUAAGUUUAUUCUAUAAAUGAAAGUGUAAGCAUUCCACCUCAUGAGUAAUUUGGCAACAUUGGAACUGAAAUCAUUAGACCGUAUCUGAAACCAGUAGUGAAGUAUGUUGUUUAAUUUGAUUAUCCGCAAAAAACCUUACCACAAUUUGAAUAUUUAUAUUUUUUUUUAUUGUUUUCUUUAUAAUUUUCUUCUAAGAACAAAGUUAAUAAUGAGGCAAUAAGAUAUAUUUACAAGCGUUGCACGGCUGUCUACAGUUAAUGUCGUGAGACUUUGGUUAGUUCCAUUAAAUUAACGUAAACCCUUACUUUAUUUUUAUAUAGAGUAGUUCUCCGCUAUAUUGGAUAUGAU